This 490-nucleotide unclassified non-coding RNA is filed under the name Hevea brasiliensis (rubber tree). The record is from RNAcentral. Lineage: Eukaryota; Viridiplantae; Streptophyta; Magnoliopsida; Malpighiales; Euphorbiaceae.
AAGAGGCUUCUCUUUCAAAUUAGGAUUUACUGUCCCAUGUCCCAGUUUUCUGACUUCAAGGCUUCCUCUCAAAUUAUUCAGUGUAUCCAUUUCAUCUAAUCCUCCAGCAUACUUUGACACUGAAUCAUCUGUGGCUGCCAUAAACAUUGACAGAGUUUGAAGUGAAGUCAAUUGCCCAAUCCCGCGUGGCAUAUAGUGCAAACGGAGACAGCCAGCACAAUACAGAUGCCUAAGACUGAUCAAUUUUUUAAUAUCUUUAGGAAGUUUCUGUAGCCUAUGACACUCAGAGACAUUUAACACUUGCAAAUUCAGCAGGUUUGUAAUAAAAUUGGGAAGUUCUUUAAUUUUCUUAUUGCGAGAAACAUCAAGAUACCUUAGAUGUCUUAGGCUUUUUAUGAAACUGGGCACUUUUUCAAUUCCACAACUAUCCAUAUCAAAGACACGCAACUUCUUGAAGUUUGGCAAAAUAACCUUGUCUAGUGAUAUUGUA